AGCAGUAGCCGCGGGAAUACGUAGGUGGCGAGCGUUGUCCGGAAUUAUUGGGCGUAAAGGGCUCGCAGGCGGUUUCUUAAGUCUGAUGUGAAAGCCCCCGGCUCAACCGGGGAGGGUCAUUGGAAACUGGGAAACUUGAGUGCAGAAGAGGAGAGUGGAAUUCCACGUGUAGCGGUGGAAUGCGUAGAGAUGUGGAGGAACACCAGUGGCGAAGGCGACUCUCUGGUCUGUAACUGACGCUGAGGAGUGAAAGCGUGGGGAGCGAACAGGAUUAGAUACCCGUGUAGUCCCUGUCUCUUAUAC
This 303-nucleotide ribosomal RNA is filed under the name uncultured bacterium. RNAcentral's name for it is "partial 16S ribosomal RNA". It matches the Rfam family "Bacterial small subunit ribosomal RNA", at positions 507 to 807 of the family's 1533-position model. The record is from RNAcentral.